This 503-nucleotide ribosomal RNA is filed under the name uncultured bacterium. Its description in RNAcentral is "bacterial SSU rRNA". It matches the Rfam family "Bacterial small subunit ribosomal RNA", at positions 28 to 526 of the family's 1533-position model. The record is from RNAcentral.
GAUGAACGCUAGCGGCAAGCUUAACACAUGCAAGUCGAACGGUAACAUUGGUGCUUGCACCGGAUGACGACCGGCGCACGGGUGCGUAACGCGUAUGCAACCUACCUUCUACAGGGGGAUAGCCCAGAGAAAUUUGGAAUAAUACCCCAUACGAUCAUUGAUUGGCAUCGAUCAAUGAGGAAAACUCCGGUGGUAGAAGAUGGGCAUGCGUCCUAUUAGUUAGUUGGUGAGGUAACGGCUCACCAAGACGUCGAUAGGUAGGGGCCCUGAGAGGGGGAUCCCCCACACUGGUACUGAGACACGGACCAGACUCCUACGGGAGGCAGCAGUGAGGAAUAUUGGACAAUGGGGGCAACCCUGAUCCAGCCAUGCCGCGUGCAGGAAGACUGCCCUAUGGGUUGUAAACUGCUUUUAUACAGGAAGAAACUGUGCUACGUGUAGUGCACUGACGGUACUGUAAGAAUAAGGAUCGGCUAACUCCGUGCCAGCCGCCGCCGUAACAC